GAUGAACGCUGGCGGCGUGCUUAACACAUGCAAGUCGAGCGAGUGAGUUCUUCGGAACAAUCUAGCGGCGGACGGGUGAGUAACACGUGGGCAACCUGCCUCAUAGAGGGGAAUAGCCUCCCGAAAGGGAGAUUAAUACCGCAUAAAAUUGUCGAGUGGCAUCACAUGAUAAUCAAAGGAGUAAUCCGCUAUGAGAUGGGCCCGCGGCGCAUUAGCUAGUUGGUGAGGUAACGGCUCACCAAGGCGACGAUGCGUAGCCGACCUGAGAGGGUGAUCGGCCACAUUGGGACUGAGACACGGCCCAGACUCCUACGGGAGGCAGCAGUGGGGAAUAUUGCACAAUGGGGGAAACCCUGAUGCAGCAACGCCGCGUGAGUGAUGAAGGUCUUCGGAUUGUAAAGCUCUGUCUUUGGGGACGAUAAUGACGGUACCCAAGGAGGAAGCCACGGCUAACUACGUGCCAGCAGCCGCCGCCG
Molecule: ribosomal RNA, 476 nt
Filed under: uncultured bacterium
Lineage: Bacteria
Description: partial 16S ribosomal RNA
Rfam family: Bacterial small subunit ribosomal RNA
Source: RNAcentral